GGGGACCUCGACGAUACAGAGACAGGAGGGGACCUCGACGAUACAGAGACAGGAGGGGACCUCGACGAUACAGAGACAGGAGGGGACCUCGACGAUACAGAGAGAAACAAAGACCUGCUUCUCCAACGCUCCUCCUCCACAGGACCUCCACCACAGCACCCUCUCCUCCUCCACAGGACCCGCUCCUCCACCACAGGACCCGCUCCUCCUCCACAGGACCUCCACCACAGGACCCUCUCCUCCUCCACAGGACCCGCUCCUCCACCACAGGACCCGCUCCUCUGUAGGUGCUGGACCUCUGUAGGUACUGGACUUCUGGACCUCUUUAGGUACUGGACCUCUGUAGGUACUGCACCUCCAUUGCCGAACAUGUAGCACCCACCUGUGUGAUGCCACAGCUUCUGAAAGGUGCAAUUUGAAUUGACUGGUAUUUAAAUGGAAUUGAUCCCAACCCUGUGUUCUAUAACCGUAACUGCUGUUUAAAGACCGAGACUGUGAGACAAAGUGCCAGUCGUGUUUACAUUCAUAUCCAAUAGGACUUGGAAGGGAUAUAACGUCUGUGGAAGAGAUUACUGCUAGCAUACUGGAAAAGCACAGUUAGUUUAUUCUAUCCUGGUCCCAGAUCUGUUUUGUGCUGUGUAGCCAACUCCUGUUGCAUUUGACAAGACAACACAAGCAGAUCUAGAACCAGGCUAAGAUUGUUGUAGGUGUAGUAUAGGAUUUAGACUGAUUCUUGGGUUACAAAGAACUCCACUAUAAAACACUGUUGUUUUUCUGUAAGUAGCGUUUGUUGUAGGUUUUCAUAUGUUUGAUGUGCGGUUUUCUGUUUGUUGUAUGUGGCAUUGUUAUUAGAGAUUGGGAAUCUGCAUUGUGUGUGUGUGUGUUUCUACUGUCUAAGUGCCUGACUACUCAUAAGCUAAAGAGAACCAAAAUGGCGAUCUGCUUUCUGCACUGCUGAGAUCACAAUGAUCGUUUCUAUCACUGUAUAAUGGAGAGAGAGAGAGAGAGAGAGACCGAGGUGUUUUCUAUAGGUAUGGUCAGGUCUGCCAUUAUUACCCCCCUUGAUACAGAUGAGCAAAAUAAUUCUAUACAAAAGACUAAUUCUGAGCGAUAUUGCCUGCUCAACAAAAUGGGGAAAUGGUAUAUAUUUUUAUUUUUUUAUAUCAAUACAAUUGCUCAGCGAAAGAGAACUAUAUUUUCAUGUCAUCUGACCAUAGCACCGCCUGGUGUUUCCACCGCCUGGUGUUUGCUAAACGGCAUAGGAACCGGUGCUUUGGUCAGAUGACCUGUAAAUAGAGCUCCUCAACGCACAACAGAGGUGGGUUUGGCGUUGAGGAACAGAAGCAGGAACGAACCUCCGUACCUACUGUAAAAUAUGGGGGUGGAUGUUUUGAUGUUAUGGGGCUGUUUUGUUUCCACUGAUCAUGGGACACUUGUUUAAGGUCAACGGCAUCAGGAACUGUAUCCAGUACCAGGACAGUGUGUGUGUGUGGAUGAUAAUGACCCCCAGGACGAAUCGAACCUUUACACACACAUCUAGAUGCUGCAAUGGUCACCUCAGUCCCCGGACUUUUGAUUCUGUGUGGAGGAAUGGAUUAAGAUCCCUACCAACGUGUUCUCCAGUCACAUAAAACAUUUUAGAAAUGGGCUCAGUGGUGGGGUUUCUUUUUGUAUGUAUUUCCUGUUCAACAAAAUCUCAUUCUCUGAGCAAUUGUUUUGUUAUAAAAUAGUAUAAUUUGCACCCUUUUUUUUUUUUUGCAUGAAAUAUAUCUCAGUAUUUUACAUUGUUUUAUUUAUACAAUAUUUUUUUUUGCUUAUCUUUAUCCAGGGUGCCAAUAAAUAUGGACCUGGUUGUAUCUGGGGUUUUGUUUUUGGGUUUAAUCACACUAAAAAUGUAACUUGUUGUAUCAAAUUGUUCUAUUUAGUUGUGUACUGUAUAAAAAAAACCACUACUGCAUUUGUUGGUUGUUGCUGUGGUUGUUGCUGUGGUUGUUGCUGUGGUUGUCUACGGCCAGUAAAACAGUGAGAUUUGAAAAUGUUUCUUUCUUUCUAAGACUUUCCUUACCAUGUUGCAAAGCUUGACUUGCUGUCGGUUAACGCCAAAAGAUUGUUUUGCUGGUGUGGUGGGUUGUGGAUGCUGUCUGUGUGUUCAGGCGGUGUUUUUAUAUGACAAUCAUGGUGACACUUAUUACUCAAUAUUAAAUCUAUUUCCUGGGAUGUAUAAAAUACUGUGU
This is a long non-coding RNA of Oncorhynchus tshawytscha (Chinook salmon), 2234 nucleotides long. Lineage: Eukaryota; Metazoa; Chordata; Actinopteri; Salmoniformes; Salmonidae. The record is from Ensembl.